This 151-nucleotide non-coding RNA is filed under the name Thermobifida fusca. The record is from RNAcentral. Lineage: Bacteria; Bacillati; Actinomycetota; Actinomycetes; Streptosporangiales; Nocardiopsidaceae.
UUGCGCAAUACGCGUCUGGGUACACUCCCCCCGACUAAAAGCAAAAAGAGCGUCGGGUGCAGGCAAUCCGGUCAAAGUCCGGAGCGGUCGCGCCACUGUAGACGGGCUCAAGCCCGUGAGCCAGAAAACUCACCCGGCGUAGUGGUCUCUG